GGGGGAUAUUGCGCAAUGGGGGAAACCCUGACGCAGCAACGCCGCGUGAAGGAUGAAGGUCUUCGGAUCGUAAACUUCUGUCUUUGGGGAAGAAUAAAUGACGGUACCCAAGGAGGAAGCCACGGCUAACUACGUGCCAGCAGCCGCGGUAAUACGUAGGUGGCGAGCGUUGUCCGGAUUUACUGGGUGUAAAGGGCGUGUAGGCGGGACUGUAAGUCAGAUGUGAAAUACCGAGGCUCAACCUCGGGGCUGCAUUUGAAACUAUGGUUCUUGAGUGUCGGAGAGGGAAGCGGAAUUCCUAGUGUAGCGGUGAAAUGCGUAGAUAUUAGGAGGAACACCAGUGGCGAAAGCGGCUUUCUGGACGAUAACUGACGCUGAGGCGCGAAAGCGUGGGGAGCAAAC
RNAcentral lists this ribosomal RNA (402 nucleotides) under uncultured bacterium. RNAcentral describes it as "bacterial SSU rRNA". It matches the Rfam family "Bacterial small subunit ribosomal RNA", at positions 356 to 773 of the family's 1533-position model. The record is from RNAcentral.